This 434-nucleotide ribosomal RNA is filed under the name uncultured bacterium. RNAcentral describes it as "partial 16S ribosomal RNA". It matches the Rfam family "Bacterial small subunit ribosomal RNA", at positions 29 to 507 of the family's 1533-position model. The record is from RNAcentral.
AGCGAACGCUGGCGGCAGGCUUAACACAUGCAAGUCGAGCGGGCAUCUUCGGAUGUCAGCGGCAGACGGGUGAGUAACACGUGGGAACGUACCCUUCGGUUCGGAACAACUCUGGGAAACUGGAGCUAAUACCGGAUACGCCCUUAUGGGGAAAGGUUUACUGCCGAAGGAUCGGCCCGCGUCUGAUUAGCUAGUUGGUGGGUAACGGCCUACCAAGGCGACGAUCAGUAGCUGGUCUGAGAGGAUGAUCAGCCACACUGGGACUGAGACACGGCCCAGACUCCUACGGGAAGCAGCAGUGGGGAAUAUUGGACAAUGGGCGCAAGCCUGAUCCAGCCAUGCCGCGUGAGUGAUGAAGGCCUUAGGGUUGUAAAGCUCUUUUGUCCGGGACGAUAAUGACGGUACCGGAAGAAUAAGCCCCGGCUAACUUCGUG